Molecule: ribosomal RNA, 497 nt
Filed under: uncultured bacterium
Lineage: Bacteria
Description: partial 16S ribosomal RNA
Rfam family: Bacterial small subunit ribosomal RNA
Source: RNAcentral
UUGAACGCUGGCGGCAGGCCUAACACAUGCAAGUCGAGCGGCAGCGCGGGGCAACCUGGCGGCGAGCGGCGAACGGGUGAGUAACGCGUAGGAAUCUACCCAGUAGCGGGGGAUAGCCCGGGGAAACUCGGAUUAAUACCGCAUACGCCCUAAGGGGGAAAGCAGGGGAUCUUCGGACCUUGCACUAUUGGAAGAGCCUGCGUUGGAUUAGCUAGUUGGUAGGGUAAAGGCCUACCAAGGCGACGAUCCAUAACUGGUCUGAGAGGAUGAUCAGUCACACCGGAACUGAGACACGGUCCGGACUCCUACGGGAGGCAGCAGUGGGGAAUAUUGGACAGUGGGGGCAACCCUGAUCCAGCCAUGCCGCGUGUGUGAAGAAGGCCUUCGGGUUGUAAAGCACUUUAAGUGGGGAGAAAGGCUCCAAAGUUAAUACCUUUGGGGAUUGAUGCUACCCACAGAAUAAGCACCGGCUAACUCUGUGCCAGCAGCCGCGGUAA